This 425-nucleotide ribosomal RNA is filed under the name uncultured bacterium. RNAcentral describes it as "bacterial SSU rRNA". It matches the Rfam family "Bacterial small subunit ribosomal RNA", at positions 355 to 775 of the family's 1533-position model. The record is from RNAcentral.
UCGAGAAUCUUCGGCAAUGAGCGCAAGCUUGACCGAGCGACGCCGCGUGCGGGAUGAAGGCCUUCGGGUUGUAAACCGCUUUCAGUGGGGAGGAAAUCGCUAGGGGUUCUCCCCUAGUGUUGACCUAUCUUCAGAAGAAGGACGGGCUAAGUUCGUGCCAGCAGCCGCGGUAAUACGAACCGUCCAAACGUUAUUCGGAUUUAUUGGGCUUAAAGGGUACGUAGGCGGCGCUAUCAGUCGGGUGUGAAAUCCCUCGGCUCAACCGAGGAACUGCGCCCGAUACUGUAGUGCUUGAGGGAGACAGAGGUAAGCGGAACUGAUGGUGGAGCGGUGAAAUGCGUUGAUAUCAUCAGGAACACCGGUGGCGAAAGCGGCUUACUGGGUCUCUUCUGACGCUGAGGUACGAAAGCUAGGGGAGCGAACGG